This is an RNA transcript of Alligator sinensis (Chinese alligator), 2110 nucleotides long. RefSeq lists it as uncharacterized. The transcript has 4 exons. NCBI's taxonomy places the organism in Eukaryota, Metazoa, Chordata, Crocodylia, Alligatoridae. The record is from RefSeq and is a predicted model, not a curated record.
GAAAACCCAUGAGCCUGAUCUUCUUUUUCCUCUGGAGCCUGUGGUACUGCCUGGGACUGCCCAAGCCGGGUGCCUGCAGACAGGUGCACGGCUAUGCCUUUACACAAUGUAAGUGCUACUGUGGACACAGCUCUGUUGAGACUCAUAAAGGCUUUGAAUGGACCUACAGGCACAGCAUGUUUCCUUCUCGAGAAGAUUUUGUCAGCCAGCUCUCCAUCACAGGUACCCUGACCUCCCUCCCACACACAGCCCUGACCUGUCCUACUGGUCAGUCCCUUCUUGCCAGCUGUUCCUCAGUGUGAUCUGCAGGAUAUCCGUAUCUGCCCCCUUUUCUGUCCAGCUGCCUGGUUCGCCCAUGCUUCUGUCUGGGUCUGCCAACACCCAUCAGACAGGAGACAGCAGGACACCACCUGCCUCAGUGCUCCAGAAGUGGCUUGGUGGAGCAGCACAUGCAGCUACGGUCAGUGCAGCAGCAUCUGGGGCAGUUCAGCAGAGACCUCUGCCAGGACCAGCACUGGCACCUCGGAGGGGCUGCUUCACCGAGGUUUUGCUCCCAAUUCCUGCGAGCAGGGAAGGUUGUUCUGCCUCUGAAAGCCGGUGCCAAAUCACGUUCCAACAGCUGUAUGUUGUCCAGCAUGAGUCAUCCCCACCCUGAGCGCUAAGCCUAUCCACAACAACAUUCCUUCUUUGUGAUCUAAGGUCCUGGCUAGGUUAAAUUGCCAUCUAACAUCACUCUUCCCCUCCCACCUCCUUGCAACCUAUUGGGAUGUCUGAGUUCCAAGACAAGAGAGACUGAGAGAUCAAAGUCCAUUGUUGGACCUCCCCCAUGCCUGAGGAAAUCAUGAGAUUCGUGCCAAAAAUCAUGGGAUUUCUUUUUUCAAAAAUAGGUUGUUUUUCCAGUGUUUGAACUCCUCUGUGCGUGACAAUUAACGCUGCCCACUCUCCCAGACUUACUGACUAUGGUGAUUUUGGUCUUUUGCUGAGGCAGCAGCUCUUGCCCUCACACCUUACCCAUCUCCUACCUAGCAAUAAAUUCUUCCCCUUCCCCCUUAAAAAACCCUCCAAAUGAAUCCUGCACAUCCUACAUCAGUUCUGCUGCCUGCAUUGAUUCUCCUCCCUCCAGCAGCCCUUCUGGAUUUCUACCCCAUCCUAGCCUUCAGGAUAAGGCAGUGGUUCCCAAACUGUGGGUCGCGACCCCAAAUGGGGUCACAACAUCAGUAGAUGGAGUUGCGAUAAACAUGGCCCCUGUGAUUUCUGUGCCCACAGCAGGGUGCAGGGCUGCAGCCGGGCUACACCAGCUCCGGGCAGAAGCUGCCUCUGCAGCCGAGCACGUGGGACCUAUUGCGGGAGGGAGUGCUGCACCACCACAGCUGCCAAGGUGAGGGAUGGCAGUGGCGCAGAGUUGUGCCCACACUGCUGCCAGGUGAGCAGGGGGGUGCAUCUCAGCAUGGCAGCACGGUGCCCCCUACCUUCUGGGCCAGGUCCUGCCCACUGGGCCAUGCCCGCGGACAGCAGGGCAGGGAGCCCCAAGCUGCAUCCUCCUCACCACCAUGGAGAGGGGACAGGGAACCAGGCUCCACUCCAGCUGCAGCAUCCGCCACGUCCCACAGGUGGCACCUGGGGCUCGGGUGCUGCUGGGGGGCAGAAAGCUGUGGGUGGGGGAGUGAGGGGCCAUGCUGAGGAAGUGGGAUCGUAAAUGGGGUCAUGCUGAAGAAAAGUUUGGGAAGCACUGGGGCAAUGGGUGGGCUGUCCUAGGUGAGCUGUUCACUGUAGCCGUCAGAGUGCUGGCGUCACUCUUCUGGCUGGUGCUGUGGUGAAGCAGAAGACUUCAGCUCCCAAAGCAGCCUCUGGAGGCUAUAGGUCCCCUGGAGCAUUCAGUGCCAGAGGAUGUGCUGUUCACCAUCAGGGAAGGCCUGGCAAGCCUCUGUAUCGAGCUUGAAUAGAAAUCAAACCUUUGAAGAAUUCUUUUUUCCUAGCGUAUGCUGAAUGUAGACAGGCUCAGACAGCGGUGAAUGGGGACUUAAAUGUGGUAUUAAAUGUUUUUAAAAGCACAGCCCGGAAUAAUCCUUCCCUGGAAACCUUUAUUUGCUUUGGUGCAUGGGGGUCAGCC